AUUGAACGCUGGCGGCAUGCCUUACACAUGCAAGUCGAACGGUAACGCGGGGCAACCUGGCGACGAGUGGCGAACGGGUGAGUAAUGCAUCGGAACGUGCCCAGUAGUGGGGGAUAGCCCGGCGAAAGCCGGAUUAAUACCGCAUACGACCUACGGGUGAAAGCGGGGGACCGUAAGGCCUCGCGCUAUUGGAGCGGCCGAUGUCAGAUUAGGUUGUUGGUGGGGUAAAGGCCUACCAAGCCGACGAUCUGUAGCUGGUCUGAGAGGACGACCAGCCACACUGGGACUGAGACACGGCCCAGACUCCUACGGGAGGCAGCAGUGGGGAAUUUUGGACAAUGGGGGCAACCCUGAUCCAGCCAUGCCGCGUGCGGGAAGAAGGCCUUCGGGUUGUAAACCGCUUUUGUCAGGGAAGAAACGCUCUGGGCUAAUACCCUGGGGUAAUGACGGUACCUGAAGAAUAAGCACCGGCUAACUACGUGCCAGCCGCCGCCGUAA
This 498-nucleotide ribosomal RNA is filed under the name uncultured bacterium. Its description in RNAcentral is "partial 16S ribosomal RNA". It matches the Rfam family "Bacterial small subunit ribosomal RNA", at positions 29 to 523 of the family's 1533-position model. The record is from RNAcentral.